Molecule: ribosomal RNA, 716 nt
Filed under: uncultured Staphylococcus sp.
Lineage: Bacteria; Bacillati; Bacillota; Bacilli; Caryophanales; Staphylococcaceae
Description: bacterial SSU rRNA
Rfam family: Bacterial small subunit ribosomal RNA
Source: RNAcentral
AGUCGAGCGAACAGACGGGGAGCUUGCUCCUCUGACGUUAGCGGCGGACGGGUGAGUAACACGUGGAUAACCUACCUAUAAGACUGGGAUAACUUCGGGAAACCGGAGCUAAUACCGGAUAAUAUAUUGAACCGCAUGGUUCAAUAGUGAAAGACGGUUUUGCUGUCACUUAUAGAUGGAUCCGCGCCGCAUUAGCUAGUUGGUAAGGUAACGGCUUACCAAGGCAACGAUGCGUAGCCGACCUGAGAGGGUGAUCGGCCACACUGGAACUGAGACACGGUCCAGACUCCUACGGGAGGCAGCAGUAGGGAAUCUUCCGCAAUGGGCGAAAGCCUGACGGAGCAACGCCGCGUGAGUGAUGAGGGUCUUCGGAUCGUAAAACCCUGUUAUUAGGGAAGAACAAAUGUGUAAGUGACUAUGCACGUCUUGACGGUACCUAAUCAGAAAGCCACGGCUAACUACGUGCCAGCAGCCGCGGUAAUACGUAGGUGGCAAGCGUUAUCCGGAAUUAUUGGGCGUAAAGCGCGCGUAGGCGGUUUUUUAAGUCUGAUGUGAAAGCCCACGGCUCAACCGUGGAGGGUCAUUGGAAACUGGAAAACUUGAGUGCAGAAGAGGAAAGUGGAAUUCCAUGUGUAGCGGUGAAAUGCGCAGAGAUAUGGAGGAACACCAGUGGCGAAGGCGACUUUCUGGUCUGUAACUGACGCUGAUGUGCGAAA